Molecule: long non-coding RNA, 326 nt
Organism: Episyrphus balteatus (marmalade hoverfly)
Lineage: Eukaryota; Metazoa; Arthropoda; Insecta; Diptera; Syrphidae
Exons: 2
Source: RefSeq, a predicted model, not a curated record
UCAGCUGCGUUUGAGCACUUCCGGUCUCAUUAGAAAGUUCAAUGCUUAUAUCAAAAGUACCAUUUGUCUUAAAAACUAAUUUGUGAUAUUAAUCAAUCUAAAAAACGGCGUCAUCGGAAGCGUCAAUUCAUUUAAGGUUUGUUUGUUUAGUAGAUUUUUUUUAAGGACCGUUACAUGUUUUGACAACGGAAUUCAAUAGUACAUUAUGUAGGUACAUAAAUUACUCGAAAACUAAUCAGAAUAGUUAUGACUUUGUAUGGUAGGUAUUUUGUGUUUUUCUUUUAUUUAUUUAAAUUUCAUUCAAAAGUAAACAUUUGUAUUUUGCG